RNAcentral lists this transfer RNA (74 nucleotides) under Thermoplasmatota archaeon. RNAcentral describes it as "Candidatus Thermoplasmatota archaeon tRNA-Ile". It matches the Rfam family "tRNA". From Rfam's summary of the family: Transfer RNA (tRNA) molecules are approximately 80 nucleotides in length. Their secondary structure includes four short double-helical elements and three loops (D, anti-codon, and T loops). The record is from RNAcentral. Lineage: Archaea; Methanobacteriati; Thermoplasmatota.
GGGCCUGUAGCUUAGCAUGGUGGAGCACUCGGCUGAUAACCGAGAGGUCCCCGGUUCGAAUCCGGGCUGGCCCA